GACGAACGCUGGCGGCGUGCCUAAUACAUGCAAGUAGAACGCUGAAGGAAGGAGCUUGCUCUUUCCGGAUGAGUUGCGAACGGGUGAGUAACGCGUAGGUAACCUGCCUGGUAGCGGGGGAUAACUAUUGGAAACGAUAGCUAAUACCGCAUAACAGUAGAUAUCGCAUGAUAUGUGCUUGAAAGGUGCAAAUGCAUCACUACCAGAUGGACCUGCGUUGUAUUAGCUAGUUGGUGGGGUAAAGGCCUACCAAGGCGACGAUGCAUAGCCGACCUGAGAGGGUGAUCGGCCACACUGGGACUGAGACACGGCCCAGACUCCUACGGGAGGCAGCAGUAGGGAAUCUUCGGCAAUGGGGGCAACCCUGACCGAGCAACGCCGCGUGAGUGAAGAAGGUUUUCGGAUCGUAAAGCUCUGUUGUAAGAGAAGAACGAGUGUGAGAGUGGAAAGUUCACACUGUGACGGUAACUUACCAGAAAGGGACGGCUAACUACGUGCCAGCAGCCGCGGUAAUACGUAGGUCCCGAGCGUUAUCCGGAUUUAUUGGGCGUAAAGCGAGCGCAGGCGGUUAGAUAAGUCUGAAGUUAAAGGCUGUGGCUUAACCAUAGUACGCUUUGGAAACUGUUUAACUUGAGUGCAGAAGGGGAGAGUGGAAUUCCAUGUGUAGCGGUGAAAUGCGUAGAUAUAUGGAGGAACACCGGUGGCGAAAGCGGCUCUCUGGUCUGUAACUGACGCUGAGGCUCGAAAGCGUGGGGAGCAAACAGG
This 765-nucleotide ribosomal RNA is filed under the name uncultured Streptococcus sp. RNAcentral's name for it is "bacterial SSU rRNA". It matches the Rfam family "Bacterial small subunit ribosomal RNA", at positions 28 to 776 of the family's 1533-position model. Lineage: Bacteria; Bacillati; Bacillota; Bacilli; Lactobacillales; Streptococcaceae. The record is from RNAcentral.